Molecule: ribosomal RNA, 500 nt
Filed under: uncultured bacterium
Lineage: Bacteria
Description: bacterial SSU rRNA
Rfam family: Bacterial small subunit ribosomal RNA
Source: RNAcentral
GAUGAAAGCUAGCGGCAGGCCUAAUACAUGCAAGUCGAGGGGCAGUUUUAGUUUUCGGACUAAAAGCGACCGGCAAACGGGUGCGUAACGCGUAUGGAAUCUACCUUGUACAGAGGGAUAGGUCCCGGAAAUGGGAAUUAAUACCUCAUAUUAUUCCAAGAGCGCAUGUUUUUGGAAAGAAAGCGAUAGUGGUACAAGCUGAUCAUGCGUCCCAUUAGCUAGUUGGUGAGAUAAGAGCUCACCAAGGCGACGAUGGGUAGGGGUUCUGAGAGGAAGAUCCCCCACACUGGCACUGAGACACGGGCCAGACUCCUACGGGAGGCAGCAGUAGGGAAUAUUGGUCAAUGGGCGGAAGCCUGAACCAGCCAUGCCGCGUGCAGGAAGAAGGCCCUCAGGGUUGUAAACUGCUUUUGUACAGGAACAAAGAGCUCUUGCGAGAGCAGAUGAGAAUACUGUAAGAAUAAGCACCGGCUAACUCCGUGCCAGCCGCCGCGUAACAC